AAGGGAGCUUGCUCCCGGAUGUUAGCGGCGGACGGGUGAGUAACACGUGGGUAACCUGCCUGUAAGACUGGGAUAACUCCGGGAAACCGGAGCUAAUACCGGAUAGUUCCUUGAACCGCAUGGUUCAAGGAUGAAAGACGGUUUCGGCUGUCACUUACAGAUGGACCCGCGGCGCAUUAGCUAGUUGGUGAGGUAACGGCUCACCAAGGCGACGAUGCGUAGCCGACCUGAGAGGGUGAUCGGCCACACUGGGACUGAGACACGGCCCAGACUCCUACGGGAGGCAGCAGUAGGGAAUCUUCCGCAAUGGACGAAAGUCUGACGGAGCAACGCCGCGUGAGUGAUGAAGGUUUUCGGAUCGUAAAGCUCUGUUGUUAGGGAAGAACAAGUGCAAGAGUAACUGCUUGCACCUUGACGGUACCUAACCAGAAAGCCACGGCUAACUACGUGCCAGCAGCCGCGGUAAUACGUAGGUGGCAAGCGUUGUCCGGAAUUAUUGGGCGUAAAGGGCUCGCAGGCGGUUUCUUAAGUCUGAUGUGAAAGCCCCCGGCUCAACCGGGGAGGGUCAUUGGAAACUGGGAAACUUGAGUGCAGAAGAGGAGAGUGGAAUUCCACGUGUAGCGGUGAAAUGCGUAGAGAUGUGGAGGAACACCAGUGGCGAAGGCGACUCUCUGGUCUGUAACUGACGCUGAGGAGCGAAAGCGUGGGGAGCGAACAGGAUUAGAUACCGUGGGUAGUCCACGCCGUAAACGAUGAGUGCUAAGUGUUAGGGGGGAUUUCCGCCCCUUAGUGCUGCAGCUAA
This 802-nucleotide ribosomal RNA is filed under the name Bacillus stratosphericus. RNAcentral describes it as "bacterial SSU rRNA". It matches the Rfam family "Bacterial small subunit ribosomal RNA", at positions 72 to 855 of the family's 1533-position model. The record is from RNAcentral. Lineage: Bacteria; Bacillati; Bacillota; Bacilli; Caryophanales; Bacillaceae.